CGCGGCCUAUCAGCUUGUUGGUGAGGUAACGGCUCACCAAGGCAUCGACGGGUAGCUGGUCUGAGAGGACGAUCAGCCACACUGGAACUGAGACACGGUCCAGACUCCUACGGGAGGCAGCAGCAGGGAAUAUUGCACAAUGGGCGAAAGCCUGAUGCAGCAACGCCGCGUGAGGGAUGACGGCCUUCGGGUUGUAAACCUCUUUCAGGAGGGAAGAAAUUGACGGUACCUCCAAAAGAAGCCCCGGCUAACUACGUGCCAGCAGCCGCGGUAAUACGUAGGGGGCGAGCGUUGUCCGGAUUUAUUGGGCGUAAAGAGCUCGUAGGCGGCUCAGUAAGUCGGCUGUGAAAGUCCGAGGCUCAACUUCGGAACUGCAGUCGAUACUGCUGUGGCUAGAGUCAGGUAGAGGAGAAUGGAAUUCCCGGUGUAGCGGUGGAAUGCGCAGAUAUCGGGAGGAACACCAGUAGCGAAGGCGGUUCUCUGGGCCUGUACUGACGCUGAGGAGCGAAAGCGUGGGGAGCAAACAGGAUUAGAUACCCUGGUAGUCCACGCCGUAAACGUUGGGUACUAGGUGUGGCGAUCGGACUAACGAUUGCCGUGCCGAAGCUAACGCAUUAAGUACCCCGCCUGGGGAGUACGG
RNAcentral lists this ribosomal RNA (640 nucleotides) under uncultured Actinomycetes bacterium. RNAcentral's name for it is "bacterial SSU rRNA". It matches the Rfam family "Bacterial small subunit ribosomal RNA", at positions 232 to 885 of the family's 1533-position model. Lineage: Bacteria; Bacillati; Actinomycetota; Actinomycetes. The record is from RNAcentral.